Molecule: ribosomal RNA, 718 nt
Filed under: Pasteurella dagmatis
Lineage: Bacteria; Pseudomonadati; Pseudomonadota; Gammaproteobacteria; Pasteurellales; Pasteurellaceae
Description: bacterial SSU rRNA
Rfam family: Bacterial small subunit ribosomal RNA
Source: RNAcentral
UUAACACAUGCAAGUCGUAACGGUAGUCAGGAGAGAAAGCUUGCUUUACUUUGCUGACGAGUGGCGGACGGGUGAGUAAUGCUUGGGAAUCUGGCUUAUGGAGGGGGAUAACUGUGGGAAACUGCAGCUAAUACCGCGUAGUAUCGAGAGAUGAAAGGGUGGGACCUUCGGGCCACCUGCCAUAAGAUGAGCCCAAGUGGGAUUAGGUAGUUGGUGGGGUAAAGGCCUACCAAGCCGACGAUCUCUAGCUGGUCUGAGAGGAUGACCAGCCACACUGGGAACCUGAGAAGCACGGCCCCAGACUCACUACCGGGAGGCAGCAGUGGGGAAUAUUGCGACAAUGGGGGGAACCCUGACGCAGCCAUGCCGCGUGAAUGAAGAAGGCCUUCGGGUUGUAAAGUUCUUUCGGUAAUGAGGAAGGGGUAUUAUUGAAUAGAUAAUAUCAUUGACGUUAAUUACAGAAGAAGCACCGGCUAACUCCGUGCCAGCAGACCAGCGGUAAUACGGAGGGUGCGAGCGUAAAUCGGAAUAACUAGGGCCGUAAAGGGCACGCAUGGCGGACUUGUAAGUGAGAUGUGAAAUCCNCGAGCUUAACUUGGGAACUGCAUAUCAGACUGGGAAGUUCUAGAAGUUACUUAUAGGGGAGGGGGUAGAAUUCCCAGCGUGUAGCCGGUGAAAUGCGUAGAGAUGUGGAGGAAUACCGAAGGCGAAGGCAGCC